CUCCUACGGAGGCAGCAGUGGGAAUCUUGCACAAUGGAGGAAACUCUGAUGCAGCGACGCCGCGUGAGCGAUGAAGCCCUUCGGGGUGUAAAGCUCUUUCGACGGGAACGAUAAUGACGGUACCCGAAGAAGAAGCUGCGGCUAACUACGUGCCAGCAGCCGCGGUAAUAC
RNAcentral lists this ribosomal RNA (171 nucleotides) under uncultured bacterium. RNAcentral's name for it is "partial 16S ribosomal RNA". It matches the Rfam family "Bacterial small subunit ribosomal RNA", at positions 336 to 526 of the family's 1533-position model. The record is from RNAcentral.